ACUCAAAUGAAUUGACGGGGACUUGCACAAGCAGUGGAUUAUGCGGUUUAAUUCGAUGACAAACGAAAAACCUUACCAAGGUUAGAAAUCUACGUGAAGCUACGCAGAAACGUGUAGCGUCCGCAAGGACUCGUAGACAGGUGAUGCAUGGCCGUCGUCAGUUCGUGAUUUGAAUUGUUCCCUUAAGUGGGGUAACGAACGCAACCCUCGUUGCCAGUUACAAGUGUCUGGCGAGACUGCCCCCGUUUGCGGGCGCAAGUUCUUUGCUAAGGCAAAGAACUUGUUAUUGCAAACGGGGGAGGAAGGCGAGGAUGACGCCAGGUCAGCAUGUCCCUCUGAUACCUUGGGCCACACGCAUAAUACAAUCGCAUCUACAACGGGUCGCGACGGGGUAACCCUGAGCUAAUCCUAAGAAAAGGUGCGCCAGUUCGGAUUGGGGGCUGCAACUCGACCCCAUGAAGCCGGAAUUGCUAGUAAUCGCGGGUCAGCUAUACCGCGGUGAAUACGUUCUCAAGUCUUGUACACACCGCCCGU
Molecule: ribosomal RNA, 534 nt
Filed under: uncultured bacterium
Lineage: Bacteria
Description: partial 16S ribosomal RNA
Rfam family: Bacterial small subunit ribosomal RNA
Source: RNAcentral